Molecule: long non-coding RNA, 589 nt
Filed under: Helianthus annuus (common sunflower)
Lineage: Eukaryota; Viridiplantae; Streptophyta; Magnoliopsida; Asterales; Asteraceae
Description: hypothetical non coding rna
Source: RNAcentral
UUUCUCCCCCUCCAACCCAACAAGCCCUUCUCCAAACAAAGCCUUUGAAACCGGGUUAAACCGGAUCUUCCCAAACGACCGGCUUUUGCUGACCAAUACCUCUUUGAUCAUAUCCGGGUCGGAUACCGCCAGCCUAGCCUUUGACCCGAACCAAUACAAAAAAGUAUCUCCAUAAACUUUUGACCAGUUGUAAUAGUGUGGCAUCACUCUUUGAACCACUCCCUCAUGGUUGAAAGAAACCGGGCGAGAUGAUUCCGCCUCAGUGAUCAUCUUCCGCCGGGUCCCGGCUGAGUUUCCGAAUAUCGGACGAUAGCCGGGACCGCGGACGCCUUGUUGACGGAAGUGGAGUUGGAUCCGAAGUGGGAUCCAUAUGUAUUUGUAGAGGAUGGUGAGUAUGAUGAAGAAUAGAGGAAGAAGAAGCAUAAAACUCAUUGUUAGUUGUGUGUGAAAGAGAAAUCUGGUCAUGGAUUGGGAUAGGGACUUCAAUAACCUGGGAAGAUGUGAUACGUGGUGAGAAUUUGGUUAGUAUCGGUUUCAUGUGUUAUGGAAUCGAUACUCGCUGUAACAAUUGAUUGAGAAAAUCUUAAAA